RNAcentral lists this ribosomal RNA (253 nucleotides) under uncultured bacterium. Its description in RNAcentral is "partial 16S ribosomal RNA". It matches the Rfam family "Bacterial small subunit ribosomal RNA", at positions 524 to 776 of the family's 1533-position model. The record is from RNAcentral.
UACAGAGGGGGCAAGCGUUGUUCGGAAUUACUGGGCGUAAAGGGCGCGUAGGCGGCCUGCUAAGUCGAACGUGAAAUCCCUGGGCUCAACCCAGGAACUGCGUCCGAUACUGGUUGGCUUGAAUCCGGGAGAGGGAUGUGGAAUUCCAGGUGUAGCGGUGAAAUGCGUAGAUAUCUGGAGGAACACCGGUGGCGAAGGCGGAUCUCUGGGCCUGUUCUGACGCUGAGGCGCGAAAGCUAGGGGAGCGAACAGG